Molecule: long non-coding RNA, 358 nt
Organism: Falco peregrinus (peregrine falcon)
Lineage: Eukaryota; Metazoa; Chordata; Aves; Falconiformes; Falconidae
Exons: 2
Source: RefSeq, a predicted model, not a curated record
CACGGAGCCUGAGUGCGCUGCCCGGCCGCCCCCCCCCCCCCCCCGCCCCCUUUCUGGGCGGCGCGGCCUCCCCCGUGGCCGCGGCCCGGGCGGAGCGGGUGGCGGAGCCGCCACGGGAGGGGCCGCUGCGGCGCGGCGGGUUAAUGUUGAAGAAGGAAAAUGCGGAAGUCGCCAUUUGACAAGUUUUAUAAAUGAGAAUUAUUUGAAGCUCAGGAAUAAGUGAAGCUGAAAUUUGAAAAAAAAGAAAGUGAAUGCAUGCUAUUUAUCAGACCAGAAGUCCCACUUGUAGAAUAUUGAGCAAUUUGUGUGAAGUGGGGAAGAUGAAAGAAGUCAGAAUUUGAAACGGAAGAAUGAAGAA